Molecule: long non-coding RNA, 1697 nt
Organism: Carassius auratus (goldfish)
Lineage: Eukaryota; Metazoa; Chordata; Actinopteri; Cypriniformes; Cyprinidae
Exons: 3
Source: RefSeq, a predicted model, not a curated record
UUGACCCAUGGUGCAGAGGGUUAAUACUGGUUUGCUAAACCAAGGGACCCCAAAUCAGUCAGAUUAAGGAGAUUUUCCAGGAAUGUCCGGCUUUAUUUUAAGAUUGGUGGAUUGUUUGGGUUUGAGUGUCCAUGGGCUGAGGUUAGUGGAAUUAGAUCUUCAAGCGUUUCCUCAAACCCUGGAGGAAGGAGGUUAAUAUUACACCUUGGUUUAGAAACACAAUUAAGGCCAGUCUUCAUGUAUGAUCGCUGCAGAUGUGGUUGAGCAGUUUAGUCUUAAAUAUGUUUUCCUGGUGUUAAAUAUCACCAUGUCCCAGCAAUACACAGCACAGCUCUCACCCGCUUGUAAAAAAAAAAAAAAAAGAUGAAGUCACAUUUACCGUUGCUUGGCAAACUUUUUGCAGUAUUUCCAAAAGCAGUUCACCCAAAGGCUCCUUGAUUUCCCCACAGAGAUUUUGCAUCAGGUUGUUUUUCAUGUGACUUCGGCAUGAGUGGUUUUCAUACAUCACUACACUAUUAACAAUAAUUAUUCAGCAGAGCAAACUGUGCUGCUCUGGGUCAGCCUGGGUGAUUCUAACCCCAGUGAAGGAAUACUGUGAAGGACAGAACCAGAGAGGUGUGUGUUGCUCAUGAAGAGAGCCCCUGUCUCCAACACCUUCACAGUAGCUGCACCCUAAAUUUAUUAGCAGCAAGAGAGUGAAAGAAUAUCAUACUAUCCCAGUUCCCUCCUUCUCUCUCUCUCUCUCUCUCUUCCUGCUGGUCGCUCUGUCUCCUGUUUGCAUUCUUUCAGGACUCCUCUGCCAGUAGCGCUCAUUGAGCAUCGUACACGCGCACACGCACCGUCUGCCCGGUGAAGCUGAGCGGAGGAAGCACGUUCCGUGUGUGUGAGGCAGAAACAAGCAGGGGGUAGAAGCUGAAUGAAGUUAGGUUAGAAUCAGGAAGUGGGAGGAACCGGUCGCGCCGUAGGUGAUUGAGAGAGAGUUUGUGGGGGUACAGGCAGCACUCGCGCGAGGAACGGGAGCCAGGAGCCAGGAACCAGGAACCAGGAACCAGAAACCAGAAACCGAGCUUGAAACCAGCGACGAUUUCGAGGAAAAGAAGCGGCGUCGGGGUUUUACUGCGGCUUUACUCCACCCAUUCUGUCUAUAGGAGGGAAAUACUGUACGCUUUGUUGGAUUUUAUUGCUCUGCACGAGCGCACGGGAGACAGGAACGCGCGGAUGGUUUGUCACUGAGCGCGCCUCUUACACAAAAGCGCAGAAGUCUGCGACGGUUGGCGAGGAUUUCAAACGGCCAAUUUGCGGGAAGAGGACGAACUGAAGGAUUUCUCCACAUCUCUGCGCUCUUGGGUACCAGGCACAUGGCUGCCUUUGUCUGAGAGCCUCUCUCGCUUUGAGCUCUGGAUGUUUUUCUUCUUCCUCUUCUUCCCUGGGAAAGGCUUCUUAUUUUUGCAUGGCUGUCAUUCACUCUGAGCGAACGAGAGGAAUUCGCCGCCUGUUUGUGGAUUAAAUUGUUUGACAAGCAGAAUGUGAAACGGCGUAUUUAUUACUAAACCUUAAAGUGAUUUCUUGGUUUAUUUUCCUCCGUGCCAACCUCACCACAUCAGAAGGGCUCCGAUGCCGGCUCAGAGAAAUUAUUCAGCACAGCUGCAUUUAAAGUUCCAGAUUUUAGCAUUGACAAGCUCUCCACCAAUGCCUGC